CCACGAAAAACCAGCAGGCAACCACUGACUGACUGGCAGCUGGAUUUGUUGGCGUGAGGACUCAGCCACUUACGAGCAGCGGCAGAAGCACCAGCAGGAGUAGCAGCAUAUUUAUACAGGCAACGCUACAAUUGUAUUGUGUAUAAGUAGUUGGUAGCAUAGACAUAGGGGUAUUCGCUUAAAAUACAACAGUAUGCAACAACAAAAAGAUAAACAGAGCAACAAAAAUCAAAAGAUAUCAUUUUAUUACGGAGAACGUACGAACAACCCUCUGCAGAACGAUUCUCGAGCGAAAAACGAAAUCAAAAAAUAAAUAAAUAAAUGCAAAAAUCAAAACAAAACGAAACAACCAAACAACAAAAAAAAAAAAAAAACAAAUUAUAAACUCAUAGCAACAACAACUCAGAGCUAAGCUGCAGUGGGUGGGGCAAAAGUAAAACAAUGCUGAGCGCAAAAUUCUUCACCCGUGAGAAUGCAGAGCAUGGAGACAGCAGGACGGUGUAGUCGGAUGAAAAAUCUCACCAGCAUCAGUAUCACGUGGUGUUGAUCCAAUUAAAACCUGAAGUAAGCGUAACUUUGUUAUUGUAAUCGAAUUGUGCGACAACAGCACGUGCUAAACACGUUUCGGGAGAGCGAAUGUACUGCUUUUGGAGAGAGCAACGUGCAAAACAGUCGCAAAGUUAUAGAACGCGCCAAAAACGUUAUGAAUGAAAGUCGUUGGAAGUGAUUUACUGCGCAUGUCCUUGAACACUACAAUUGGCGAAUUCUACCGAAGGAAAUUGUUGCGAAGCAUUUUUCGUUUCAGUUGGAGUUGAAUAUUCUAGAGACGUGGACACGUUGAUUGAAAAUUCGCAAUGCCGUUCUUCUGUGGCAAAAUUACGUAAAUGAUGGUAACUUUCAAAUGAGUUAUGCGAUAGAAUAUAACUGCGAAUCGGCAUAGUAGCUGGAUUUUUAAAUUUUUUGAAAAAUCAAUCUGAAAUUUUGCACAUGUGCUUUUAUCUCCAGGAAGCUGAUCUUUUGUCGGAACCGCCGAUAUGAGGUCACCAUAAAAACUAGUCUACUAACUAAGGAGAAGCGGAAGCGGCGCGCAUCUUAUUGUCAUACUCGAAAGGAAGCUGAUUUUAUUUUUGCAUUUGCUUAACGCCGGCCUUAAGAAAGUACAAGUAGUAUAAAUAAAUGUCGUCUGGCCAUUGGCGCAGACUAUAAAUACAAAUUUGAAUUUCAGCACAGCAUUUGGUUUUGAAUAUUUUAAUUUAAAAUCAUAAUUAAAGAGAAAGGAUAUCCGCGAUUUUUCAUUAACUUGCAACGCCGUGCUGACGCAGAGCGUUCCCGUGCCGGCGGCAAGCAUUGGUAAAUGGCUAAAACACAUACAAGCACAUUUGUGGCAAGUAAAUAUCGAGUACGUUUGAGAAAAUAAAUUAAACAUGAUUCUACCAACCGCAAAAGCACUCUGGGAGGCGUAUAGAGUGCUCACAUCUACACAAGAUGCUGUUGUCAAUCUAAUACGCGCGUUUGUAAGCGGUUAGAGGGGGCGCUAUGAAGCGAAGAAGCCAGCGCGUAGAAUAGCCGAUUGUAAUCAACAAUACAAUUCGAUGAAACAUAAUAAAAAUGUCAGUAUCAGUAACAGCAGUAGCCACAAGUGGAAGGACGUCACGUAGCAAAGGCGUCAAUUGGCUUCAAUUCGGAGUCCGGCAAACAAAAAAAUGCGCAAAAAUCCGAAACAUGCACACAAAGGCUAUUGAAAAACUUUGACAGCAGCUAGUCGCACGGAAACGACCAAACCAUCUAAGGUACAAAAACGAAAAAAGAAAGGCAUUAGAAUACAAAAAAGCCUACGAAAAAUGCCAAGGUAAAAUAAGAAAAUGGUCCAAAGUAUCUAAACAGCCAUGGGCUAUAUGCAAUGGUAAGCAGUUGGGGAAUACGGGUGUGAGGAGGUAGUAGCGUGGCGCAACGUUUGAAGCUAUUACGCUGAGGAGGCUGAAAAUUUAUGUGUUAAUUUUCAUUCACACCUUAAUACUUUAGUGGCCAUUUAUAAAAUAUUGUUGUAGGGGUGCUUUUUAUGCAUUUACGAGGGUGGGUAGUUGAGUUUGUAUUUUAUUGUGUAAUUCUUAAUACUUUUUU
Molecule: long non-coding RNA, 2121 nt
Organism: Bactrocera neohumeralis
Lineage: Eukaryota; Metazoa; Arthropoda; Insecta; Diptera; Tephritidae
Exons: 3
Source: RefSeq, a predicted model, not a curated record